This 72-nucleotide transfer RNA is filed under the name Camelus bactrianus (Bactrian camel). It matches the Rfam family "tRNA". Rfam says of the family: Transfer RNA (tRNA) molecules are approximately 80 nucleotides in length. Lineage: Eukaryota; Metazoa; Chordata; Mammalia; Artiodactyla; Camelidae. The record is from Rfam by way of RNAcentral. RNAcentral also lists the same sequence under 3 other names.
GAGAGUGUGGCUCAGUGGUAGAGUGUCUGCUUAUUGUGCAUGAAGUCCUAGGUUCAAUCCCCAGUACUGCCA